RNA transcript from Vigna unguiculata (cowpea), 2372 nucleotides. It is a transcript of the gene named ubiquitin-like-specific protease ESD4, with no coding region annotated. The record is from RefSeq and is a predicted model, not a curated record. Lineage: Eukaryota; Viridiplantae; Streptophyta; Magnoliopsida; Fabales; Fabaceae.
GGGAGAAAAGGGUAAAAGUUUGGAAAGAAGAGUAGUUGUUGUUUGUGCCGCGAAAAAGAGAAGAAAGAGAAAAGGUCAUCCUCGGCGGAACAGGCGCGGAGGUGAAUCGCCAAUCAACAACAGAUCCACACCACCAUUCACACCCCACUCCAAUUUCUCUUCUCAUUCUUCUCAUCUCUUCAUACCUUUCACCUUUCAAUUUCUCGCGCUCAAACUCUUCCACCCAAUUCCGUUUCCCUCAUUUCUCAAUUCCACCUUCUCACUCUCUUCUAUGCCGCUUCUCAUAAACCCUAACGCAACGUUUCUCUUCAAUUCCCUUUUCCUUUAGGGUUUCGCCCAAUCCCCAAUUCUCCCAACCUUCACUGGACAUGCUCGUUCUCCGAUGGCCGUCGUAACUAGCAACGGCAAGCGCCGCCCGAAUUGGCUCUCUGCGGCUCACCACCUUCCAUCUCCCAAUUCCAAAAGGCUCAGACUGUCGGCAACAUCCGACAACCACGCGGACCCUGUGUUAUCCUCGAGUAGUAUCGUUUCCAGAAUUUCCAAAUACCCUGAAGCCAAGCCACUGGGGCGUAGGGAGGUUCACGCGCCGUGUAGACCCCGUAAGUUUGAUUUUCCUACGUUUAAUAGAAUGAAAUCGAGCUUGAAUGCUAGUAGUAGUUAUUAUGAUCGCAAGGAAGAGAUUGUUAACGAUGUCGGCAACACGCUGAGUGAAAAUUACGAAAGGGCGAAAAAAUCAGCGUUAGCUAGCAUUAGGUUUGAGGAAAAGGGUAAGGAGGUGAUAGAAGUGGAUGAUGGUAGUCCCAAGGGCAUGGUUUCCGAAGAUUCGGGCGUGGAGGAGGUUCGUUUUAGGGAAGAUGGACGGGAUGUGCGCUCUGUGGUGACGGAGCACAAGUGGCAAGAGGGUGAUUUGGUUGUGACUGAAGUGAAGGAUUUGAAAGCUAAGGAUGUGCGUGGCGGUCCUCAGCAGCAGUCAGCUUCAUCUGUGGUUUCGGAGUUGACUAACGGCGAUUUGAAUGUUGUUAAUGCUGUGAAGAUGUUCGGCACUCUAUCUUUAACUCCUGAGCGUGAUCUUUCGGAUGUUCAUGCCUACAAGAAGUUGCUUGAGGCUGUUGACAAGCGCUCGGAUACGAUUAAGAGGCUGUCGGCUGAAAUUAAGCUUAAUGAGAAGCGUAGGUCCACAUUUGAAUUGUUGCGCCCGAAGAAGGAACUAGUACAGGAAGUGCCAUUGGAACCUUUUAUUCCUCUUACUGAAGAUGAUGAGUUAGAGGUUACACGUGCCUUUUCUGCCAACAGGAGGAAGAUCUUGGUUGCCCAUGAGAAAUCGUGCAUUGAGGUCUCAGGAGAAAAAUUUCAAUGCCUUAGACCCGGUGCAUGGUUAAAUGACGAGGUAAUAAAUUUGUACCUUGAAUUGCUAAAAGAAAGGGAGAGAAGAGAGCCCCAGAAGUUUCUGAACUGUCAUUUUUUCAAUACUUUUUUCUACAAGAAGUUAAUAAGUGGCAAGGGUGGUUAUGAUUUCAAAUCUGUGAGGAGAUGGACCAGCCAAAAGAAACUGGGAUAUGGCCUACAUGAAUGUGAUAAAAUUUUUGUUCCUAUCCAUAAAGAGAUCCAUUGGUGCUUGGCUGUUAUCAAUAAGAAAGAUAAGAAAUUUCAGUACUUGGAUUCACUGAAAGGAAUAGACACCCAUGUGAUGAAAGUUCUGGCUAGCUAUAUUGUAGAUGAAGUAAAGGACAAGACUGGAAAAGAUCUUGAUGUAAGUUCUUGGGAAAAGGAAUUUGUUGAAGACCUUCCUGAGCAGCAGAAUGGGUAUGAUUGUGGGGUUUUUAUGAUCAAAUACGCUGACUUCUAUAGCAGAAACUUGGGGCUGUGUUUCAACCAGGAACACAUGUCGUACUUCCGGCGCAGAACAGCUAAGGAAAUCUUGAGAUUAAGAGCUAACUAAGCUAAAGAAUGUUUUAUCUGUAUUUCCACAAUGGAUUUUUCUCAUCAGAAAACUGAAACAGUCAAUUACGUCAAAUCAGUUGAUCAAUUUCUGAUGAAGUAUCCUUCACUCCUGUCACUAUCUUGGCCAUAACCAUUCAAAAGUUCUGGCAUUUGUUAGAUUGUGGACUGGACUUAUUAUGCACAUCGUCCUGAUAUCCAGAGCCCUCGUAUCAGGCGAGUUAAGAGCAGUGAAGAAAACGGGGCAUUACUAAGGUUUUGAUUAUGUGAAGCAAUGUUAUGAAGCAUUUUAGAAUGUGUUUAGAACAACUAAUUUUAGGAGUUAGACUUUAUUUAUUAAGUAUAUAUAUUUUUCUUUUUCAGAAAUGUGUUUAAAAUAAAACUGAUUCAAUUUCAAAAUCUUUGGUAUAGUGAAUUCAAUUUCAAUUUAGAUU